Molecule: ribosomal RNA, 329 nt
Filed under: uncultured eukaryote
Lineage: Eukaryota
Description: partial 18S ribosomal RNA
Rfam family: Eukaryotic small subunit ribosomal RNA
Source: RNAcentral
CCCUUAGAUGUCCUGGGCUGCACGCGCGCUACACUGACGAACUCAACGAGCUUAUCACCUUGGCAGAGAUGUCUGGGUAAUCUUUUGAAAGUUCGUCGUGCUGGGGAUAGAUGAUUGUAAUUAUUCGUCUUGAACGAGGAAUUCCUAGUAAGUGUGAGUCAUCAGCUCGCGCUGAUUACGUCCCUGCCCUUUGUACACACCGCCCGUCGCUCCUACCGAUUGAAUGGUCCGGUGAGGUUCUCGGAUUUUUUCUGUUGUUUGGUUCGCUAAACGAUUGGAGAGAGAAGUUACCCAAACCUUACCAUUUAGAGGAAGGAGAAGUCGUAACA